CCUACGGGUGGCUGCAGCAAGGAAUUUUCCGCAAUGGGCGAAAGCCUGACGGAGCAACGCCGCGUGGGGGAGGACGCUUUUCGGAGUGUAAACCUCUUUUCUUGGGGACGACGACCGACGGUACCCGAGGAAGAAGGACCGGCUAACUACGUGCCAGCAGCCGCGGUAAUACGUAGGGUCCGAGCGUUGUCCGGAGUUACUGGGCGUAAAGCGCGCGCAGGCGGCUUCAUAAGUCUGGCGUGAAAGCCCCCGGCUCAACCGGGGGAGGGUCGUCGGAGACUGUGGAGCUUGAGGGCGGUAGGGGCUGGUGGAAUUCCCGGUGUAGUGGUGAAAUGCGUAGAGAUCGGGAGGAACACCCGUGGCGAAGGCGGCCAGCUGGGCCGACCCUGACGCUGAGGCGCGAAGGCGUGGGGAGCGAACGGGAUUAGAUACCCCGGUAGUCCACGCAGUAAACGAUGCAGACUAGGCGUGGGGGGACUUGACCCCCUCCGUGCCGGAGCCAACGCGGUAAGUCUGCCGCCUGGGGAGUACGGCCGCAAGGCUA
RNAcentral lists this ribosomal RNA (544 nucleotides) under uncultured Chloroflexota bacterium. RNAcentral describes it as "bacterial SSU rRNA". It matches the Rfam family "Bacterial small subunit ribosomal RNA", at positions 338 to 896 of the family's 1533-position model. Lineage: Bacteria; Bacillati; Chloroflexota. The record is from RNAcentral.